RNAcentral lists this ribosomal RNA (497 nucleotides) under uncultured Oscillospiraceae bacterium. Its description in RNAcentral is "bacterial SSU rRNA". It matches the Rfam family "Bacterial small subunit ribosomal RNA", at positions 1 to 507 of the family's 1533-position model. Lineage: Bacteria; Bacillati; Bacillota; Clostridia; Eubacteriales; Oscillospiraceae. The record is from RNAcentral.
AGAAGUUUUGAUCCUGGCUCAGGAUUAAACGCUGGCGGCGCACAUAAGACAUGCAAAGUCGAACGGACUUUAACCAUUAGUUUUACUAUUGGGAGCGGUUAGUGGCGGACUGGUGAGUAACACGUAAGCAACCUGCCUAUCAGAGGGGAACAACAGUUAGAAAUGACUGCUAAUACCGCAUAUGCCUUAGUAACACAUGUUACAAAAGGGAAAGAAGCAAUUCGCUGAUAGAUGGGCUUGCGUCUGAUUAGAUAGUUGGUGGGGUAACGGCCUACCAAGUCGACGAUCAGUAGCCGGACUGAGAGGUUGAACGGCCACAUUGGGACUGAGAUACGGCCCAGACUCCUACGGGAGGCAGCAGUCGGGAAUAUUGCGCAAUGGAGGAAACUCUGACGCAGUGACGCCGCGUGCGGGAAGAAGGUUUUCGGAUUGUAAACUGCUUUAGACAGGGAAGAAACAAGACAGUACCUGUAGAAUAAGCUCCGGCUAACUACGUG